UGCAGUCGUACGAGAGUUUUUACUCAAGUGGCGGACGGGUGAGUAACACGUAAGAAUUUGCCUUUAGGAGGGGGACAACAACUGGAAACGGUUGCUAAUACCCCAUAUGCUUUCGAGUGAAAUGGUUUUUCCGCCUAAAGAGAAGCUUGCGGCUGAUUAGCUUGUUGGUAAGGUAAUGGCUUACCAAGGCGACGAUCAGUAUCUGGUUUGAGAGGACGAUCAGACACACUGGAACUGAGACACGGUCCAGACUCCUACGGGAGGCAGCAGUGGGGAAUUUUCCGCAAUGGGCGAAAGCCUGACGGAGCAAUACCGCGUGAGGGAUGAAUGCCUAUGGGUUGUAAACCUCUUUUUUCAGGGAGGAACAAAAUGACGUGUACCUGAAGAAUAAGCAUCGGCUAACUCCGUGCCAGCAGCCGCGGUAAUACG
RNAcentral lists this ribosomal RNA (429 nucleotides) under uncultured organism. Its description in RNAcentral is "bacterial SSU rRNA". It matches the Rfam family "Bacterial small subunit ribosomal RNA", at positions 56 to 527 of the family's 1533-position model. The record is from RNAcentral.